Long non-coding RNA from Ipomoea nil (Japanese morning glory), 631 nucleotides. RefSeq lists it as uncharacterized. The record is from RefSeq and is a predicted model, not a curated record. The transcript is spliced from 2 exons. Lineage: Eukaryota; Viridiplantae; Streptophyta; Magnoliopsida; Solanales; Convolvulaceae.
CUGUAAAUCGACUGAAGAACAUAUUAACCCGAACAUGGUUAGAAUGAUCAGCCAAGCAACUAACCUCUACCACCAUAGUUUGUUUGGAUCUUCCUAACUGUCAAUGCGGGAAUUAACUCGUUUCCUGCACAACUACAAGACUCAAGCAAACACAGACUCGGUACACCCUAAAUUUCUCCUUACAGUACAUUAUAUUUAGAAAAGAAAAAAAAUCAAAUUUUCAAAAUUAAUUUUAUUCUAAAUCACAUGACCAAUGGCAUGGAUGCAUGUUUUAUGGAGUAUCCUUGUUUGUUUGUUUUGUUUUUUUUUUUUUUUUGAAAUCUUUAAUUGUUUGAUCAUGUGGAGCUUGUAAGUGUGUGACAGUUUUGUUUUCUUCCCCACUUCUCUAGUUUUUGUUGAAUAAUGUACAUCCAAGGCUGCUUCUGCUUCUUCUUUUAUGAAGCUCUAUUUGAAAGUGUGUAACCGUGUUGUGUCACUUCACAUUGUGGAGAAAUAUGUAAAAUUUUCACCUUUACAUUCUAGUAUCAUGUAUUAAAUAUUAAUGUUACAAACUUAUGUCACUCGACGAGAAGUUAUUGAAUCCUUGACGAAAUGGAGUUUUUGAAUGAUAAAUGUACAAGAAAUUUUACAA